ACUCCAGACUCCUACGGGAGGCAGCAGUGGGGGAUAUUGCACAAUGGGGGGAACCCUGAUGCAGCGACGCCGCGUGGGUGAAGGAGCGUUUCGGCGCGUAAAGCCCUAUCGGCAGGGAAGAAGGAGGACGGUACCUGACUAAGAAGCCCCGGCUAACUACGUGCCAGCAGCCGCGGGAAUACGUAGGGGGCAAGCGUUAUCCGGAUUUACUGGGUGUAAAGGGGGCGUAGACGGCAAUGCAAGCCAGAUGUGAAAGCCCGGGGCUCAACCCCGGGACUGCAUUUGGAACUGUGUAGCUGGAGUGUCGGAGAGGCAGGCGGAAUUCCUAGUGUAGCGGUGAAAUGCGUAGAUAUUAGGAGGAACACCAGUGGCGAAGGCGGCCUGCUGGACGAUGACUGACGUUGAGGCUCGAAAGCGUGGGGAGCAAACAGGAUUAGAUACCCUCGUA
Molecule: ribosomal RNA, 448 nt
Filed under: uncultured bacterium
Lineage: Bacteria
Description: partial 16S ribosomal RNA
Rfam family: Bacterial small subunit ribosomal RNA
Source: RNAcentral